RNA transcript from Triticum dicoccoides, 1011 nucleotides. It is a transcript of the gene named nucleolar protein 56-like, with no coding region annotated. The record is from RefSeq and is a predicted model, not a curated record. NCBI's taxonomy places the organism in Eukaryota, Viridiplantae, Streptophyta, Magnoliopsida, Poales, Poaceae. The transcript is spliced from 5 exons.
UCGAACCCAAGAGAGCAACCAACCAACCCGAACAGACGAGUCGCCUUCUUCCUCCUCCUCGGCCCAGCGCGCGGCGGCGGCGGCAUGGCGGCGGGCGGCGACCUGACCGAGGACGAGCGCAAAGCGCUGCGGGGGAGCAAGUUCGCGCCCCUCCCGGCGCCACCGCCGUCCUCCCGCCCCAACCCGAGGAUGGCCCAUCCUGGAGGACCACUAACUACAAAUAAGGCUGCUGCUUUAGCGAAAUUCCUCGAGAGAAAACUACAGCAACCUGAUGGCUUGGACUCUCUAAAUCCCGAUCUUGUAAAUUUGGCCGUGAAAAAUGCAAAGGAAACCAUAAAGGCAAGCAAGGGUGAGGCCUCAACUUCUGGGAGAGUAGUACGGCAUGUUCCAUCAUUUGAGGACUCCUCUGAGGUUUCCAAUCAAGAUGACGGGGAGCAGAGACAGGAAAAGAAGAAAAAGAAAAAGAAAAAGAAAAAGAGAAAAACAAAGUGUUGCUCCUUGGAUGGUGCCAUAUGAAACGGUUCCUUAUCGAUGUGAUAAUUCUGUUACUGGAAUUUUACUUCACAGUCUGGCAACUACCACCUAUAUGGAACAUUCAUUCAUGAUGUUCAUGGCCGCUAAAGAUUCCAAGCUCCACAAUACAUCAAAGAAGAAAAAGAAGUUAUCGCUAUGACUCUUGAAUAUCCAUGGGACCAUGGAGUUAAAAGAAGGCUGCCGUCCACACUUUUGCACUUCUUAGAUCUCUUGCUUUCAUCUGAACCUCAAUCAACACUGUAAAGUGUAAACCUAGCAGUGGCAUCAAGGUGACCCGUCACAGUGAACAAAACACUUGAGAACCCAGAGUGCAAAACUGAAUGUAGUUGGUUCUUGUUUUUGAGGGCGAAUGUAGUUGGUUCUGGUCUAACGGUCCCUAUACCAUUAGAGUUGCUUGGAAACAUCUAUGUAUUCUGCACUUUAUUACUGCUGUUGAAUGCUGUUCUGAGUUUGUGAUGAUGCAGCUCGCCACUGAUC